UUCAAAGAUCACAUAAUUAAUCU
This 23-nucleotide small nuclear RNA is filed under the name Arabidopsis thaliana (thale cress). Its description in RNAcentral is "snRNA_03541". Lineage: Eukaryota; Viridiplantae; Streptophyta; Magnoliopsida; Brassicales; Brassicaceae. The record is from RNAcentral.